Molecule: long non-coding RNA, 1818 nt
Organism: Oncorhynchus tshawytscha (Chinook salmon)
Lineage: Eukaryota; Metazoa; Chordata; Actinopteri; Salmoniformes; Salmonidae
Source: Ensembl
CGAUGACGUCACGCACCAAACACUGUCACUCACUCCCUCUCUCUCUACCUCUGUCUUUCGCUCUCCCCUCUCCCUCUCUCAGAUGUUCUAUUCUGGGAAGUUGUGCCAGGAAUAAUAGCUUCGGCGUCUUCCUCGCAAACUGAAAAAUCGUGUCGAGGAGGAUGUUUUACUCACAAGGUGUCUUCAUUUAGUAGCAGCAUAAGGCUUUAGAAUAGUCAUACGGAAGUCGAUCUUUUUUUGUGCUAAUUCUUGUUUAAUUUUUCACUCUUGAGUCUUGGACGCUUUUAUCCGACAAUUAGCGAAGUGUCAAGAGCGUUGUCAUAGGUUGUCAUUUAUUUGGGAUUUUACCGGACGUGGGUUUUUGCACGGCACCUGAAGUGUGACACGGCUGUGCCGAUGCCCUGGAGGAGUGUGAACGCUGUGUGACGUCCUCGCAAGUCGCUCUCCUUGGCUGCACAACAGGAAACACUUGUGGCCUCCCUCCUUCCUGCGCUCAGAAAGAGGGCGUGUGAAGAGGGUGUGUGCCUGGAUAGGCUUGCCAGGACUGCCAGGCAGAAGUCGUCUGUCAAAUCCCAGAGAUUGCUUUUCACUGCAUUAACCAGAGAAGGGAGAGAGGAGAGAGACGUGAAAGCCGGACAGACAAUGUCCCUUCUCUUUAUGGACUCCAAUGAUGGGACGAGGGGGCGACGGUGAUGACACUCAUCCACUCUGCAAUCAGAGGCAGGAGCGAUGGAUGCGUCACAGUAUUUGAUUAGCUAGAGUUGGCCUCUCAGCCUGAAGCACUGCUUACAGACCAAGAUGUUUGUUUUCAGCGAAAAGAGGUCAAUAGCUAGGAAGAUGUGAGGUAGCUAACAAGCAGGUUGACACGACAGUCUGAAGAUGGUACACUUACUGUAAUGAAUUGGAUGACAUCACCAGGAGUUGACGGACAGGGCUCAGUCUUAUGAGAUCGAGAAAUCAAAUGUCUUGUUCUCAGAUGGAUAGAGCUGUCUCUCACCUCACGGCGUUUUGUCACAAUUUUUCCAACCUUGUAUCCAUCCAGGCAUCGCUGCGCUGAAAGACAACCCUGAGAUUGAUGUCUGAGGUGAGGCACAUCAGCCCAGUCACAAGUCCUUCACAACCUUUUUUUUCUUAAAAUAAAACAAAUCUGUCUUUAAGCAUGUUGGAAAAGGACCCGUAAGUAAGUAAGCAUUUCACUGUUCGUCUACACCUGCUGUUUACCAAGCAGGUGACAAAGGACACUUCCUCAAUGGAGCGUAAAUACUGUAGCAGCCAUGCCAAGACAGUGAGAGCUAAAACAUCCUGAAACUCAGAGCCUGGUUCAGCUCACAUGGCAACAACACGUCAAACCUUAUAAAGUGUUAACAGAGAAGCCAAUGUACAGACCCAGGAGAAUCAUCCCUCUGCUCUUACUGUGUGUGCGUGCUUGCAUUUGUGUGUGCAAUUGUCUGUGUGUGUGUGAGUGUGUGUGUGUGUGUGUGUACGUGAUCUCUCAUACUCUCCCCCAGCCUCCAGCCUCUUUUUCUGGCUCUAAUAUAGCACCCUCUUCAGCUCAGAGCGGAGCUCCUCAUAUUUACGUGUGGGAUGAGAGUGGCAGGGGCUUCUCUAUUAGCCCUCAGGAUGAGCCAGUGCUAGCUAGCUCCCAGCUCCCAGCUCCCAGCUCCGAUCACAAGCAGCCAGGGUAUGAAAGAGAAAUCCCUUCAUCACCAAAGUCGUAAUGAAUUUGUAACGACCCCCAUUUAUUACAUUUAUUUUGCUGAAUUUCGAUGUUCAAACUUUAAGCAAACAGACAACAAGUGGGCCAAUGUUGUAGCUUAU